RNA transcript from Sapajus apella (tufted capuchin), 489 nucleotides. It is a transcript of the gene named 60S ribosomal protein L30-like, with no coding region annotated. The record is from RefSeq and is a predicted model, not a curated record. Lineage: Eukaryota; Metazoa; Chordata; Mammalia; Primates; Cebidae. The transcript has a single exon.
UAGAAAGGAAAUCUCAAGCUUUCUCGCUCCCUGGCCAUCUUAGCGUCUGCUCUUGGUUGGGGGCUGUCCCGCACCUAAGGCAGGAAGAUGGGGGCCGCAAAGAAGACAAAAAAGUCGCUGGAGUCGAUCAACUCUAGGCUCCAACUUGUUAUGAAAAGUGGAAAGUACAUGCUGGGGUACAAGCAGACUCUGAAGAUGAUCAGACAAGGCAAAGUGAAAUUGGUCAUUCUCGCUAACCGCCCAGCUUUGAGGAAAUCCAAAAUAGAGCACUAUGCAAUGUUAACCAAAACUGGUGUCCAUCACUAUAGUGGCAAUAAUAUUGAACUGGGCACAGCAUGUGGAAAAUACUACAGAGUAUUUGCACACUGGCUGUCAUUGAUCCAGGUGAUUCUGACAUCAUUAGAAGCAUGCCAGAACAGACUGGUGAAAAGUAAACCAUGCAAAAUUUUUCUUUAAUAAAAUUUUUCAGAGCUUGUUAAAAAAAAAAAA